GUACUUUGGAACAUGUGAACAAGCUGCAAUAGGUUAAAGGAGUCAGGGCUUUAGAGGUUCAGUUGCUCUUUGAUUACACCAUAGUAAAUGUGCCCCUUAUGUUCCUGUGCAUUUUUCAUUACACUGUAGAGAUGUGGGGAGCUUGGUUCUGAAAGAGAGAGACUAGAUGCAGUGCAGAAGCUUGAAGAAAUAAGAAAGAAUAACAGACAGAAAAUUAGAAAUAACAGGAUCAAAAAUAAAUGAGAAAAAUGACAGUAUGGUUAUAUAUUAGAUAUCUCUAUACAUAUGUAGAUAAAUAUUAAUGGGAAGGAAAAGCUUCUAUUUCUAAAAAUAUUUUUCAUAUUACAUAUGUAUUUGGCAGAACUUCUGAUUCUUCCAUCUUUAAUGAGAAUCCAAGUCUGUGUACAGGAUCUUUGUUUCAAGAGCUUAAGCAAGCACCUGAAUAAGCUUUUGAAACUUGUCAGAAGAAAAAGUAAAGCAUCUUGAAUAUCCACUAAACUCAUUUAAGGAAGCAGUAACAGACUUCCUUUCAGUUAUGGGGAAUGAUGGGACUUUGUUUCUCUUCAAAGCUAGGAA
This is a long non-coding RNA of Gavialis gangeticus (Gharial), 576 nucleotides long. RefSeq lists it as uncharacterized. NCBI's taxonomy places the organism in Eukaryota, Metazoa, Chordata, Crocodylia, Gavialidae. The record is from RefSeq and is a predicted model, not a curated record. The transcript is spliced from 4 exons.